AGUGAACGCUGGCGGUAGGCCUAACACAUGCAAGUCGAACGGCAGCACAGUAAGAGCUUGCUCUUACGGGUGGCGAGUGGCGGGCGGUGGAGGAAUACAUCGGAAUCUACUUUUUCGUGGGGGAUAACGUAGGGAAACUUACGCUAAUACCGCAUACGACCUACGGGUGAAAGCAUGGGAUCUUCGGACCUUGCGCGAUUGAAUGAGCCGAUGUCGGAUUAGCUAGUUGGCGGGGUAAAGGCCCACCAAGGCGACGAUCCGUAGCUGGUCUGAGAGGAUGAUCAGCCACACUGGAACUGAGACACGGUCCAGACUCCUACGGGAGGCAGCAGUGGGGAAUAUUGGACAAUGGGCGAAAGCCUGAUCCAGCCAUGCCGCGUGGGUGAAGAAGGCCUUCGGAUUGUAAAGCCCUUUUGUUGGGAAAGAAAGGCAGCAGGUUAAUACCCUGCUGUUCUGACGGUACCAAAAGAAUAAGCACCGGCUAACUUCGUG
This 492-nucleotide ribosomal RNA is filed under the name uncultured bacterium. RNAcentral's name for it is "partial 16S ribosomal RNA". It matches the Rfam family "Bacterial small subunit ribosomal RNA", at positions 29 to 507 of the family's 1533-position model. The record is from RNAcentral.